Molecule: ribosomal RNA, 399 nt
Filed under: Corynebacterium sp.
Lineage: Bacteria; Bacillati; Actinomycetota; Actinomycetes; Mycobacteriales; Corynebacteriaceae
Description: bacterial SSU rRNA
Rfam family: Bacterial small subunit ribosomal RNA
Source: RNAcentral
ACCUUACCUGGGCUUGACAUGGACCGGAUCGGCGUAGAGAUACGUUUUCCCUUGUGGUCGGUUCACAGGUGGUGCAUGGUUGUCGUCAGCUCGUGUCGUGAGAUGUUGGGUUAAGUCCCGCAACGAGCGCAACCCUUGUCUUAUGUUGCCAGCACAUUGUGGUGGGUACUCAUGAGAGACUGCCGGGGUUAACUCGGAGGAAGGUGGGGAUGACGUCAAAUCAUCAUGCCCCUUAUGUCCAGGGCUUCACACAUGCUACAAUGGUCGGUACAGCGAGUUGCCACACCGUAAGGUGGAGCUAAUCUCUUAAAGCCGGCCUCAGUUCGGAUUGGGGUCUGCAACUCGACCCCAUGAAGUCGGAGUCGCUAGUAAUCGCAGAUCAGCAACGCUGCGGUGAAU